RNAcentral lists this long non-coding RNA (98 nucleotides) under Dermacentor andersoni. RNAcentral describes it as "uncharacterized LOC126530630". The record is from RNAcentral. Lineage: Eukaryota; Metazoa; Arthropoda; Arachnida; Ixodida; Ixodidae.
CGACGAUCGCCGACUGUGUUCGCCGCUCUCAUUGUGCUUUAAGUGUAGCCUGUUUUGUGGGCACAGGUUCGCCCAAUAAAAGCUAGUUUUGCCUUUCA